AAAUUGAAGAGUUUGAUCAUGGCUCAGAUUGAACGCUGGCGGCAGGCCUAACACAUGCAAGUCGAACGGUAACAGGAAACAGCUUGCUGAUUUGCUGACGAGUGGCGGACGGGUGAGUAAUGUCUGGGAAACUGCCUGAUGGAGGGGGAUAACUACUGGAAACGGUAGCUAAUACCGCAUAACGUCGCAAGACCAAAGAGGGGGAC
Molecule: ribosomal RNA, 206 nt
Filed under: Escherichia coli
Lineage: Bacteria; Pseudomonadati; Pseudomonadota; Gammaproteobacteria; Enterobacterales; Enterobacteriaceae
Description: partial 16S ribosomal RNA
Rfam family: Bacterial small subunit ribosomal RNA
Source: RNAcentral